UACGUAGGGGGCAAGCGUUGUCCGGAAUCAUUGGGCGUAAAGCGCGUGUAGGCGGCCUUGUAAGUCCGUUCUGAAAGCCCGGGGCUCAACCCCGGGAGGCGGAUGGAUACUGCAAGGCUCGAGUACGGUAGAGGCGAGUGGAAUUCCCGGUGUAGCGGUGAAAUGCGCAGAUAUCAGGAGGAACACCAAUGGCGAAGGCAGCUCGCUGGGACGUGACUGACGCUGAGACGCGAAAGCGUGGGGAGCAAACAGG
This 253-nucleotide ribosomal RNA is filed under the name uncultured bacterium. Its description in RNAcentral is "partial 16S ribosomal RNA". It matches the Rfam family "Bacterial small subunit ribosomal RNA", at positions 524 to 776 of the family's 1533-position model. The record is from RNAcentral.